UGUGCUUACAAGCACACAAAGCACGUCAACGUGUGAUGUGGUACCUUUUGUAGAAUGGUCCGGCGAGUGAAUGUAACUGGCGAGGUUAAGUUCUUAAGGAACGGAGCCGAAGCGAAAGCGAGUCUGAAUAGGGCGUCUUAGUCAGUUGUAUUCGACCCGAAACCGGGUGACCUAUCCAUGUCCAGGAUGAAGUUAAGGUAAAACUUGAUGGAGGUCCGAACCCACGGUCGUUGAAAUGCCCGGGGAUGAGAUGUGGAUAGCGGAGAAAUUCCAAUCGAACCCGGAUAUAGCUGGUUCUCUCCGAAAUAGCUUUAGGGCUAGCCUCGACUGAACAUUACCGGAGGUAGAGCACUGAAUGGGCUAGGGGCCGAGAGGUUACUGAACCCUAUCAAACUUCAAAUGCCGGAAAAUGAUAGUCGGGAGUCAGACUGCGUGAGAUAAGUUUCGUAGUCGAAAGGGAAACAGCCCAGACCCACAGCUAAGGUCCCAAAGUACGGUUAAGUGGAAAAGGAUGUGGAGUUGCACAGACAACCAGGAUGUUGGCUUAGAAGCAGCCACUCAUUAAAAGAGUGCGUAAUAGCUCACUGGUCGAGUGACUCUGCGCCGAAAAUUUAACGGGGCUAAAUCGUACACCGAAGCUUGGGAUGUAUCUAUGAUACAUGGUAGGAGAGCGUUGAAUGCGGGGUGAAGUCAGAGCGAAAGCGCUGGUGGACUGCAUUGAAGUGAGAAUGCCGGAAUGAGUAGCGAGAUUUAUGUGAGAAUCAUAAAGGCCGAAAGACUAAGGUUUCAGAAGGAAGGUUCGUCCGCUUCUGGUUAGCCGGGAGCUAAGGUGAGGCCGAAAGGCGUAGCCGAUGCACAUACGGUGGAGAUUCCGUAGCCGUCGAAAUAUUUAAGCAAAGGGACACUUAUGAAGGACAUGACCCGGGCGAUGGUAGCCCCGGGCGUAAGGGACCGAAAACAAGUAGGGAAGCAUGUUUGGAUUAAGGCGAGAAAAGCUUUGUGUAUAUAUGAGACGUCCGUACCGCAAACCGACACAGGUAGUCAGGAAGAGGAUUCUAAGGCCAACGGGAGAAGGGUAGUUAAGGAACUCGGCAAAUUGACCCCGUAACUUCGGGAUAAGGGGCGGUGCGCAAGCACCCGCAGUGAAUAGGUCCAGGCGACUGUUUAUCAAAAACACAGCUCUCUGCUAAAUCGAAAGAUGACGUAUAGGGGGUGACACCUGCCCGGUGCUGGAAGGUUAAGAGGAGGAGUGCAAGCUCCGAAUUGAAGCCCCAGUAAACGGCGGCCGUAACUAUAACGGUCCUAAGGUAGCGAAAUUCCUUGUCGGGUAAGUUCCGACCCGCACGAAUGGUGUAACGAUCUGGACGCUGUCUCAACUGCCCACCCGGCGAAAUUGUAGUACCGGUGAAGAUGCCGGUUACCCGCAGCAAGACGGAAAGACCCCAUGGAGCUUUACUGUAACUUGAUAUUGGGUCUUGGUAUUCUAUGUACAGGAUAGGCGGGAGACUAUGAAACAUACACGCCAGUGUAUGCGGAGUCACCCUUGGGAUACCGCUCUUAGAGUACUGAGAUUCUAACCUGCGGCCGUGAAUCCGGUCGGGGGACAUUGUCAGGUGGGCAGUUUGACUGGGGCGGUCGCCUCCUAAAAGGUAACGGAGGCGCUCAAAGGUUAGCUCAGCACGGUCGGAAACCGUGCCUCUGAGUGCAAACGCAAAAGCUAGCCUAACUGCGAGGCUGACGGGCCGAGCAGUAACGAAAGUUGGAGUUAGUGAUCCGGCGGUAUGU
Molecule: ribosomal RNA, 1785 nt
Filed under: human gut metagenome
Description: bacterial LSU rRNA
Rfam family: Bacterial large subunit ribosomal RNA
Source: RNAcentral